RNAcentral lists this small RNA (1755 nucleotides) under Cryptococcus neoformans H99. RNAcentral describes it as "Cryptococcus neoformans var. grubii H99 hypothetical RNA". Lineage: Eukaryota; Fungi; Basidiomycota; Tremellomycetes; Tremellales; Cryptococcaceae. The record is from RNAcentral.
GUGAUUUGAUCAUAUGGAACCAAGACACCACAGAAUAUGACAAGGACUAAGUGGCAUGUGAGCUCUAUGCUUCUUUUUUGGCUCUAAAUCAAGCACCCACCUCCAAUGAGCAGAGGAUUGACAAGAGAAGCAAAUACCUCAUGAGGAGCGUAUGCCGCCACAAACUGGCCAAUACCGGUGUACAAAAACUCAUACAACGUCAUCUGAAGAUAAAUAGGUCCUGCGACUCCAGGUUUGAAGCUGAAACCGAUGGUUGGAUACCACGAGGCAAAGUAGAGUAGAGCGCAGACGAGGAGGUAGGGAAUUUCUGCUACAAUCUCUGCGAAACAGAAGGCAUGCCAGGAGUAAAGCUUUGCCUUUUUCUCUCGCGCUUCGAAGAUGUCUCGGUUGUGUAGGAACUUGGGCUGGGUCUGAGCUAUUACACCCGCUACAAAACACAUAUCAGCAAUUGAAGGCAGUGAGUAUGAAAAGGCCUACGAGCAACGAAAACAAACAGGAAAAUUGUGAAGAUACGGUUCUGGAUAUCCGCGUAUCUGUGAAAAGAGUCAGACAGCUACAGCCGCAUUAUCAACAGGGACGAAACGCACGCUUCACCAAUUUUCCAGAAACUGAAACCAUUGAAGAGAGCUGCCAUGACGUGCAGCGCAACCUUCAUUCAUGUAAGUGAUAGCGUAAGUCGGCUUCAAAGCUUUCUCACCUUGUUCAUCACGUAUUCAGUGUCACGCCAGAGUUGGAUCGAUGCACGCUUGGUGACUAGCUUGAGCUGGGUCAUGUUUGUCGAAGCAAACUCAUACUCGCCACCCUCGACAAUGGUGAUGUUAUUCGCACCAGCCUCCUUCAGUUCCUCCAGUUCCCUGGCACGCUCUUUGCAUUCGUCUGAUUCAAGCCAAACCUGAGCCCAAUCUCGCCCUUUCGAAAGGUCACCCGACACAAUAUCAAUCAUCCGUUCAGCUGGAUUGACGUCCUUAGGGAUUGUGACGCCUUGUUUCUCAAAGUAGCUGGUCAACUCGCUGACAGCUCCAACUAGUCAAGCAAUCAGCUGUAUAGCUUAAACCUCCGUUAAGCAAAUGACCCACAGUACACAGUGUUGCCACCGCCUUUGAGGAGCAGGAGCUGGUCAAAUUGAGCGAAGAGAGCAGCGGAAGGUUGGUGAAUGGUACAAAGAACAGCUUGACCGGUAGCGGCUAGCUUUCUUAAGAAGGAAACAAUCAAAUAAGAGUUUUGGCCAUCAAGACCCGAAGUAGGCUCAUCCAGGAAUAAUAAGGUUCUGCCAGGAUUAGCGUAGUUGUCAGUGCAGGCAAAGUCGAACUUACGGCUUGCUGACAAGUUCAACACCGAUUGUUAACCGCUUUCGCUGCUCGACACCCAAACCGGCUUCCGGAGUACCAAUCAGGGCAUCUUCAAUGUCAUGUAGCUCUAGCAGAUCGAUAAUGACAUCGACAAAACUCAAGAGCCUCUCUCACCGUAGCCUGAGGAAGGUGUACAUCCACUUGUUCGCAAUAGCCGGUGGUUCGCUGGAAAGAAAUGGGAAGUUGCUUGCCGUUCAUGAGAACCUCACCACGGAUAUCGCCGUCCGUCUUUCGAGCUGCCAACACAUCCAUCAAGGUCGUUUUGCCUGCUCCAGAAGAUCCCAUGAGAGCAGUAAGAGUACCAGCUUUGCAGUACCCAAAGAUGUUGUUGAGAAGCUGGCGGGGCUUGCCAUUCACGUUGACGGUGUAGCAGAGGUUUUUCCAGGUCAAAACCCUGGUAAAUGGC